RNAcentral lists this ribosomal RNA (376 nucleotides) under Salmonella enterica subsp. enterica serovar Agona str. 246555-3. Its description in RNAcentral is "bacterial LSU rRNA". It matches the Rfam family "Bacterial large subunit ribosomal RNA", at positions 2557 to 2925 of the family's 2925-position model. Lineage: Bacteria; Pseudomonadati; Pseudomonadota; Gammaproteobacteria; Enterobacterales; Enterobacteriaceae. The record is from RNAcentral.
AGUAGGUCCCAAGGGUAUGGCUGUUCGCCAUUUAAAGUGGUACGCGAGCUGGGUUUAGAACGUCGUGAGACAGUUCGGUCCCUAUCUGCCGUGGGCGCUGGAGAACUGAGGGGGGCUGCUCCUAGUACGAGAGGACCGGAGUGGACGCAUCACUGGUGUUCGGGUUGUCAUGCCAAUGGCACUGCCCGGUAGCUAAAUGCGGAAGAGAUAAGUGCUGAAAGCAUCUAAGCACGAAACUUGCCCCGAGAUGAGUUCUCCCUGAGACUUAGAGUCUCCUGAAGGAACGUUGAAGACGACGACGUUGAUAGGCCGGGUGUGUAAGCGCAGCGAUGCGUUGAGCUAACCGGUACUAAUGAACCGUGAGGCUUAACCUUAC